GACGAACGCUGGCGGCGUGCCUAAUACAUGCAAGUCGAGCGAACAGACGAGGAGUUUGCUCCCCUGACGUUAGCGGCGGACGGGUGAGAAACAUGUGGAUAACCCAUCUAUAAGACUGGGAUAACUUCGGGAAACUGGCGCAUAUACCGGAAUAUUUAUUGAUCCGUAUGGUUUACUAGAGAAAUACGGUUUUGUCGUUACCUGUUGAUGGUUCCGCGUCUCAUUUGCUUGUUGGUAGGGUAACGGCUUACCAAGGCAAUGAUGCGCAGCCGACCUGAGAGGGUGAUCGGCCACACUGGAACUGAGACACGGUCCAGACUCCUACGGGAGGAAGAGGUAGGGAAUCUUCGGCAAUGGGCGAAAGCCUGACGGAGCAACGCCGCGUGAGUGAUGAAGGUCUUCGGAUCGUAAGACUCUGUUAUUGGGGAAGAACAAAUGUGUAAGUAACUAUGCACGUCUUGACGGUACCUAAUCAGAAAGCCACGGCUAACUACGUG
RNAcentral lists this ribosomal RNA (497 nucleotides) under uncultured bacterium. Its description in RNAcentral is "partial 16S ribosomal RNA". It matches the Rfam family "Bacterial small subunit ribosomal RNA", at positions 28 to 507 of the family's 1533-position model. The record is from RNAcentral.